RNAcentral lists this ribosomal RNA (443 nucleotides) under uncultured bacterium. RNAcentral's name for it is "bacterial SSU rRNA". It matches the Rfam family "Bacterial small subunit ribosomal RNA", at positions 39 to 453 of the family's 1533-position model. The record is from RNAcentral.
GGCCGCGGGAAUUCGAUUCAGGCCUAACACAUGCAAGUCGAGCGAGAACUUCGGAAGUUGCGAUUUAUCAAGACAGAAGAAGGGAAAGCGGCGGACGGGUGAGUAACGCGUAGGCAACCUGCCCCUGGCAGAGGGAUAGCCAUUGGAAACGAUGAUUAAAACCUCAUAACGCCGGAAGCACACAUGUGCAUCCGGCCAAAGAUUUAUCGGCUGGGGAUGGGCCUGCGUCUGAUUAACUGGUUGGUGAGGUAACGGCUCACCAAGGUAACGAUCAGUAGCCGACCUGAGAGGGUGAUCGGCCACAUUGGAACUGAGACACGGUCCAAACUUCUACGGAAGGCAGCAGUAAGGAAUCUUGCACAAAGGGGGAAACCCUGAUGCAGCAACGCCGCGUGAACGAUGAAGGGCUUCGGGUUGUAAAGUUCUGAUCUGGGAAGAAGGAA